CUUUCCCUCUCUCUUCAGGCCUAACACAUGCAAGUCGAGCGGAUGAAGGGAGCUUGCUCCUGGAUUCAGCGGCGGACGGGUGAGUAAUGCCUAGGAAUCUGCCUGGUAGUGGGGGGUAACGUCCGGAAACGGGCGCUAAUACCGCAUACGACCUGCGGGAGAACGUGGGGAACUUCGGACCUCACGCUCUCAGAUGAGCCUAGGUCGGAUUAGCUCGUUUGUGGGGUAAAGGCCUACCAAGGCGACGAUCCGUAACUGGUCUGAGAGGAUGAUCAGUCACCCUGGACCUGAAACAAGGUCCAGACUCCUACGGGAGGCAGCAGUGGGGAAUAUUGGACAAUGGGCGGAAGCCUGAUCCAGCCAUGCCGCGUGUGUGAAGAAGGUCUUCGGAUUGGAAAGCACUUCAAGUUUGGAGGAAGGGCAGUAAGUUAAUACCUUGCUGUUUUGACGUUACCAACAGAAUAAGCACCGGCUAACUUCGUG
Molecule: ribosomal RNA, 483 nt
Filed under: uncultured bacterium
Lineage: Bacteria
Description: partial 16S ribosomal RNA
Rfam family: Bacterial small subunit ribosomal RNA
Source: RNAcentral